GAUUGCUCCAGUGGCCUAGUGGCUGGAGCAUUCACCUCGGAUGUGGGAGGUCACGGGUUUGAACCCCGACUGCAUCA
This is a non-coding RNA of Potamilus streckersoni, 77 nucleotides long. Lineage: Eukaryota; Metazoa; Mollusca; Bivalvia; Unionida; Unionidae. The record is from the annotation of a GenBank genome assembly.